GGUGGUGCGUUGUUGAUAUCGC
RNAcentral lists this non-coding RNA (22 nucleotides) under Arabidopsis thaliana (thale cress). The record is from RNAcentral. Lineage: Eukaryota; Viridiplantae; Streptophyta; Magnoliopsida; Brassicales; Brassicaceae.